ACGGGUGAGUAACACGUGGGUGAUCUACCUUCGAGUGGGGAAUAACGGCGGGAAACUGCUGCUAAUACCGCAUGACAUCCUCGAUUCAUUUCGGGGAUCAAAGCCGGGGACCGCAAGGCCUGGCGCUUGAAGAUGAGCCCGCGUCCGAUUAGCUAGUAGGCGGGGUAACGGCCCACCUAGGCGACGAUCGGUAGCCGGCCUGAGAGGGCGGACGGCCACAAUGGGACUGAGACACGGCCCAUACUCCUACGGGAGGCAGCAGUGGGGAAUUUUUCGCAAUGGGGGAAACCCUGACGAAGCAACGCCGCGUGGAGGAUGAAGGCCUUCGGGUCGUAAACUCCUGUCGACCGGGAAGAAAGCACAGCGGCCUAAUACGCCGCGGUGUUGACUGUACCGGUGGAGGAAGCCACGGCUAACUCUGUGCCAGCAGCCGCGGUAAUACAGAGGUGGCAAGCGUUGUUCGGAAUUACUGGGCGUAAAGGGCGCGUAGGCGGUUUGCCAAGUCCCGUGUGAAAGCCCUCGGCUCAACCGAGGAACGGCACGGGAAACUAGCAGGCUUGAGUUCGGGAGAGGGAAGCGGAAUUC
This 585-nucleotide ribosomal RNA is filed under the name uncultured bacterium. Its description in RNAcentral is "bacterial SSU rRNA". It matches the Rfam family "Bacterial small subunit ribosomal RNA", at positions 102 to 669 of the family's 1533-position model. The record is from RNAcentral.